CUCCGGGUGAUCCUGCCGGACCCGACUGCUAUCAGAGUGGGACUAAGCCAUGCGAGUCGACGUAGCAAUGCGUGGCGAACGGCUCAGUAACACGUAGUCAACAUGCCCAGGGGACGUGGAUAACCUCGGGAAACUGAGAAUAAACCACGAUAGGUCACGAUUUCUGGAAUGGAUCAUGGCCUAAAUCUACAUGGCCCCUGGAUUGGACUGCGGCCGAUCAGGCUGUUGGUGAGGUAAUGGCCCACCAAACCUAUAACCGGUACGGGCUCUGAGAGGAGAAGCCCGGAGAUGGGCACUGAGACAAGGGCCCAGGCCCUAUGGGGCGCAGCAGGCGCGAAACCUCUGCAAUAGGCGAAAGCCUGACAGGGUUACUCUGAGUGAUUUCCGCUAAGGGGAUCUUUUGGCACCUCUAAAAAUGGUGCAGAAUAAGGGGUGGGCAAGUCUGGUGUCAGCCGCCGCGGUAAUACCAGCACCCCGAGUGGUCGGGACGAUUAUUGGGCCUAAAGCAUCCGUAGCCGGUUCUGCAAGUCUUCCGUUAAAUCCAGCCGCUCAACGGAUGGGCCGCGGAGGAUACUACAGGACUAGGAGGCGGGAGAGGCAAGCGGUACUCAGUGGGUAGGGGUAAAAUCCUUUGAUCCAUUGAAGACCACCAGUGGCGAAGGCGGCUUGCCAGAACGCGCUCGACGGUGAGGGAUGAAAGCUGGGGGAGCAAACCGGAUUAGAUACCCGGGUAGUCCCAGCUGUAAACGAUGCAGACUCGGUGAUGGGCUAGCCUUGUGCCAGCCCAGUGCCGCAGGGAAGCCGUUAAGCUCGCCGCCUGGGGAGUACGGUCGCAAGACUGAAACUUAAAGGAAUUGGCGGGGGAGCA
Molecule: ribosomal RNA, 868 nt
Filed under: uncultured archaeon
Lineage: Archaea
Description: bacterial SSU rRNA
Rfam family: Archaeal small subunit ribosomal RNA
Source: RNAcentral